This 468-nucleotide ribosomal RNA is filed under the name uncultured bacterium. RNAcentral's name for it is "partial 16S ribosomal RNA". It matches the Rfam family "Bacterial small subunit ribosomal RNA", at positions 28 to 507 of the family's 1533-position model. The record is from RNAcentral.
GACGAACGCUGGCGGCGUGCUUAACACAUGCAAGUCGAACGGAAAGGCCCUGCUUUUGCGGGGUGCUCGAGUGGCGAACGGGUGAGUAACACGUGAGUAACCUGCCCUUGAAUUUGGGAUAACUUCAGGAAACUGGGGCUAAUACCGGAUAGGAGCUCCUGCUGCAUGGUGGGGGUUGGAAAGUUUCGGCGGUUGGGGAUGGACUCGCGGCUUAUCAGCUUGUUGGUGGGGUAGUGGCUUACCAAGGCUUUGAUGGGUAGCCGGCCUGAGAGGGUGACCGGCCACAUUGGGACUGAGAUACGGCCCAGACUCCUACGGGAGGCAGCAGUGGAGAAUAUUGCACAAUGGGCGGAAGCCUGAUGCAGCAACGCCGCGUGCGGGAUGACGGCCUUCGGGUUGUAAACCGCUUUCGCCUGUGACGAAGCGUGAGUGACGGUAAUGGGUAAAAAAGCACCGGCUAACUACGUG